Molecule: long non-coding RNA, 1121 nt
Organism: Toxorhynchites rutilus septentrionalis
Lineage: Eukaryota; Metazoa; Arthropoda; Insecta; Diptera; Culicidae
Exons: 3
Source: RefSeq, a predicted model, not a curated record
CGGAUAGUGAGGGUGGUGAUAUGGUUCCUCCGGUUGAGCGCUGGUGUUUAGUUUGCCCGCCGCAAUCGACACCUCCGCUAGCUGGGUGAGAUUGUAGAGUUCCUCUGGAACGCUGCUCGGCAUUUCCUGUACCAUUUCUCCCAGUCUAUCUGUGGUGAAGCUAAAAGAUGAAAAGCAGACGGAAGAACAAUUAAUAUCCAACUUCCCCCUGAACCAUCUAUGAAGGGGACUAAAAGUUAUGAGUGUUAAGGAGUACUUGGAAGUUCAUCAUCUUAAUUCACGUACUUUCGAGUGGGAACGAAUCCAGGCAAAGGUGAGGGAUAGUUUCAAACUAUUUGUAUUCUCAAUACAAAAAAAAACUUGAAUCUUCAGUGGUUUAAUUGGCUUUGAAAACCCUAUUGAAGCUUUUUUUUGUAAAUAACAUUGCUUUGAACUUGGCACACAUCUUCUGGACAACAUCGUAUCGUAUGCAAUGUAUUCCAACGGAAAAGAAAAACAGUGUAAUAAGUUUGGAUGAAAUUACCUAUCAAAUAGAACUUACUUCUGCAUUACUUCAUUACUUCAAACUAUUAGAUCCGACCAAAAUGGCGUGUAUGGAUAGUGCUUUAUUAGGGCAUGGAUGCACUCCUGGGGUACCAUCUUCGUGAUCUUAUCGAAAAGUUAAUUCAACAUAAAUAGAGCUGAUUAAACGACUCGAUUUGAAACAAAACCAGAACAGAGGAGUGUCUACCGAAUCAAGAGCAAUCUACGAGUGUGGAGCAUUCGGAACGAAUUACAAACAGUUCAACAUUGAUUGAAGUGAACCGAUUUCGGUUGAAAGUAUGAAAAUUGUUCGUCAAUUGAACUGAAGUAAGCAUACCUACUGUGAUAGAAGAUGCUCUACUGAUUAGGCUAAGUAAAAAAUGCUCUCCCAACGAAUCGGUAUUCUGGAAAAUUGAGCUGUUUUAAUUCAAAAUUCUAUUCACUUGUAUAUUAUGUACACUGAUGACAAUUGAAGAAUUGUUAUACCUCAGCAAAAACAAUAUUUCCAUUGAAAACUGCUUUCGAGAAACUUUCGAGUAGCCUACUGUGUUUGUACAUAAAAUCCACAACAAAUUAAAGGAACAAGGUCGUUCAUUUAA